GAUGAAGAACGUAGCGAAAUGCGAUAAGUAAUGUGAAUUGCAGAAUUCAGUGAAUCAUCGAAUCUUUGAACGCACAUUGCCCCCCCUGGUAUUCCGGGGGGCAUGCCUGUCCGAGCGUCAUUACAACCCUCAAGCUCAGCUUGGUAUUGGGCCCCGCCGACCCGGCGGGCCCUAAAGUCAGUGGCGGUGCCGUCCGGCUCCGAGCGUAGUAAUUCUUCUCGCUCUGGAGGUCCGGUCGUGUGCUCGCCAGCAACCCCCAAUUUUUUUCAGGUUGACCUCGGAUCAGGUAGGGAUACCCGCUGAACUUAAGCAUAUCAAUAAGGGAGGA
RNAcentral lists this unclassified non-coding RNA (328 nucleotides) under soil metagenome. Its description in RNAcentral is "partial contains 5.8S ribosomal RNA, internal transcribed spacer 2, and large subunit ribosomal RNA". The stretch from base 1 to 120 matches the Rfam family "5.8S ribosomal RNA", at positions 35 to 154 of the family's 154-position model. The record is from RNAcentral.